GCCUGGCUAGCUCAGUUGUAGAGCAUGCAACUCUUAGUCUCAGAGUUGUGAGUUCGAGCCCCAUGUUGGGCA
RNAcentral lists this transfer RNA (72 nucleotides) under Ailuropoda melanoleuca (giant panda). It matches the Rfam family "tRNA". From Rfam's summary of the family: Transfer RNA (tRNA) molecules are approximately 80 nucleotides in length. Their secondary structure includes four short double-helical elements and three loops (D, anti-codon, and T loops). Further hydrogen bonds mediate the characteristic L-shaped molecular structure. tRNAs have two regions of fundamental functional importance: the anti-codon, which is responsible for specific mRNA codon recognition, and the 3' end, to which the tRNAs corresponding amino acid is attached (by aminoacyl-tRNA synthetases). tRNAs cope with the degeneracy of the genetic code in two manners: having more than one tRNA (with a specific anti-codon) for a particular amino acid; and 'wobble' base-pairing, i.e. permitting non-standard base-pairing at the 3rd anti-codon position. The record is from Rfam by way of RNAcentral. Lineage: Eukaryota; Metazoa; Chordata; Mammalia; Carnivora; Ursidae.